Molecule: transfer RNA, 71 nt
Filed under: Marmota monax (woodchuck)
Lineage: Eukaryota; Metazoa; Chordata; Mammalia; Rodentia; Sciuridae
Description: tRNA.Ala
Source: RNAcentral
GUUGAUAUGGCUCAGUAGUAGAGCGCUCGCCUAGCAUGUGCGAAGUCCUGGGUUCAAUCCUCAGCACCACA